RNAcentral lists this long non-coding RNA (798 nucleotides) under Homo sapiens (human). RNAcentral describes it as "HSALNT0256867". The record is from RNAcentral. Lineage: Eukaryota; Metazoa; Chordata; Mammalia; Primates; Hominidae.
GGGCGACAGACUGAGAGCCUGUCUCAAAAAAAAAAAAAAAGUUCAAGUUAUCCAGGUGCACUGAUUCACGCCUGUAAUCCCAGUGCUUUGGGAGGCCAAGACAGGGGGAUCACUUGAGCCCAGGAGUUUGAGGCCAGCCUGGGCAACAUAGUGAGACCUAUGUCUCCUCCUGGUCUCCUUAAAAAAUAAAACAUAAAAACUUACAAGCUUAGUAGACUGGAAGGGUGGUGAAGAGAGUUCACUAAUCUGCUAGUAAGCAGAGCGUGGUGUGUGCGGUCAGCACCUCCUACGUGCCAGGUCCCGACUGUCCACCUGGAGGCAGCAGCAAGCAGGGCCAACAGUGAAAGAGAAAUGGAUGAGGCAGUCCUGGGGAUGCUGUGGGCAAAGAGAAGCAGGUCUCUCUUGCAGAUGACGUUGGCACAAGCCUGGAGGAGCUGAGGAGAAACAGUGUAGAGAUCUGAGAAGGGCACAGCCUCGGUAGAGAGGCUGGGGCAGCAAGAGGCCUUUGUGGCAGCAGAGGAAUCCGGGGGGUGGUCACACAGGACCUCAACAGAUGUUAACGCUGUGGCCCUUUCUCAGGGAAGGGAGGGUACCUCUGGGACCUGUGGUGGAUGUGGCCACUAGGGUGGAGAGCAGCCUGUGGGCGGGAACCAGGAGGAGGCUCAAACUUAAGACAGUUGGACCAGGGCAUGAGGAGCAAUGAGAAGGGGAGAAGAUGGAGUGGGUGACACCUGCUUGUGGGCUGGGUGUGCAAAAGCCAGGAGUCCAGAUGACCCCAGGGUUGUCAGCUUGGGCAGA